Molecule: ribosomal RNA, 497 nt
Filed under: uncultured bacterium
Lineage: Bacteria
Description: bacterial SSU rRNA
Rfam family: Bacterial small subunit ribosomal RNA
Source: RNAcentral
GAUGAACGCUGGCGGCGUGCCUAAUACAUGCAAGUCGAGCGAACAGACGAGGAGCUUGCUCCUUUGACGUUAGCGGCGGACGGGUGAGUAACACGUGGAUAACCUACCUAUAAGACUGGGAUAACUUCGGGAAACCGGAGCUAAUACCGGAUAACAUGUUGAACCGCAUGGUUCAACAGUGAAAGACGGUCUUGCUGUCACUUAUAGAUGGAUCCGCGCCGCAUUAGCUAGUUGGUAAGGUAACGGCUUACCAAGGCAACGAUGCGUAGCCGACCUGAGAGGGUGAUCGGCCACACUGGAACUGAGACACGGUCCAGACUCCUACGGGAGGCAGCAAUAGGGAAUCUUCCGCAAUGGGCGAAAGCCUGACGGAGCAACGCCGCGUGAGUGAAGAAGGUCUUCGGAUCGUAAAACUCUGUUAUUAGGGAAGAACAAAUGUGUAAGUAACUAUGCACGUCUUGACGGUACCUAAUCAGAAAGCCACGGCUAACUACGUG